AACGAACGCUAGCGGCAUGCCUAACACAUGCAAGUCGAACGAGACCUUCGGGUCUAGUGGCGCACGGGUGCGUAACGCGUGGGAACCUGCCUUUAGGUUCGGAAUAACUCAGAGAAAUUUGAGCUAAUACCGGAUGAUGUCUUCGGACCAAAGAUUUAUCGCCUUUAGAUGGGCCCGCGUUGGAUUAGCUAGUUGGUGGGGUAAAGGCCUACCAAGGCGACGAUCCAUAGCUGGUCUGAGAGGAUGAUCAGCCACACUGGGACUGAGACACGGCCCAGACUCCUACGGGAGGCAGCAGUGGGGAAUAUUGGACAAUGGGCGAAAGCCUGAUCCAGCAAUGCCGCGUGAGUGAUGAAGGCCUUAGGGUUGUAAAGCUCUUUUACCCGAGAUGAUAAUGACAGUAUCGGGAGAAUAAGCUCCGGCUAACUCCGUG
RNAcentral lists this ribosomal RNA (433 nucleotides) under uncultured bacterium. RNAcentral's name for it is "partial 16S ribosomal RNA". It matches the Rfam family "Bacterial small subunit ribosomal RNA", at positions 29 to 507 of the family's 1533-position model. The record is from RNAcentral.